UACGAAGGGGGCUAGCGUUGCUCGGAUUUACUGGGCGUAAAGGGCGCGUAGGCGGACAGUUAAGUUGGGGGUGAAAGCCCGGGGCUCAACCUCGGAAUUGCCUUCAAUACUGGCUGUCUUGAGUGCGGGAGAGGUGUGUGGAAUUCCGCGUGUAGCAGUGAAAUGCGUAGAUAUUCGCAAGAACACCAGUGGCGAAGGCGGCUCACUGGCCCGGUACUGACGCUGAGGUGGCGAAAGCGGUGGGGAGCAAACAGG
This 255-nucleotide ribosomal RNA is filed under the name uncultured bacterium. Its description in RNAcentral is "partial 16S ribosomal RNA". It matches the Rfam family "Bacterial small subunit ribosomal RNA", at positions 524 to 776 of the family's 1533-position model. The record is from RNAcentral.